This 275-nucleotide ribosomal RNA is filed under the name uncultured bacterium. RNAcentral's name for it is "partial 16S ribosomal RNA". It matches the Rfam family "Bacterial small subunit ribosomal RNA", at positions 523 to 796 of the family's 1533-position model. The record is from RNAcentral.
AUACGUAGGGAGCAAACGUUGUCCGGAUUUAUUGGGCGUAAAGGGCUCGUAGGCGGUUCAACAAGUCGGUCGUGAAAGCCCGGGGCUCAACCCCGGGACGCCGGUCGAAACUGUUGUGACUAGAGUUCGGUAGAGGUGAGUGGAAUUCUCGGUGUAGCGGUGGAAUGCGCAGAUAUCGAGAGGAACACCAUUAGCGAAGGCGGCUCACUGGGCCGAUACUGACGCUGAGGAGCGAAAGCAUGGGGAGCAAACAGGAUUAGAUACCCUAGUAGUCC